Molecule: ribosomal RNA, 413 nt
Filed under: uncultured prokaryote
Description: bacterial SSU rRNA
Rfam family: Bacterial small subunit ribosomal RNA
Source: RNAcentral
GUGCCAGCAGCCGCGGUAAUACGAAGGGGGCUAGCGUUGUUCGGAAUUACUGGGCGUAAAGCGCGCGCAGGCGGCUUCGUCAGUCAGGGGUGAAAUCCCGGGGCUCAACCUCGGCAUUGCCUUUGAUACUGCGGAGCUGGAGUCCGAGAGAGGGUGGUGGAAUAUCCAGUGUAGAGGUGAAAUUCGUAGAUAUUGGAUGGAACACCAGUGGCGAAGGCGGCCACCUGGCUCGGUACUGACGCUGAGGCGCGAAAGCGUGGGGAGCAAACAGGAUUAGAUACCCUGGUAGUCCACGCCGUAAACGAUGAGUGCCAGCUGUCGGGGUGCAUGCACCUCGGUGGCGCAGCUAACGCAUUAAGCACUCCGCCUGGGGAGUACGGUCGCAAGAUUAAAACUUAAAUGAAUUGACGGGG